This 340-nucleotide ribosomal RNA is filed under the name Oncomelania hupensis hupensis. Its description in RNAcentral is "partial large subunit ribosomal RNA". It matches the Rfam family "Bacterial large subunit ribosomal RNA", at positions 1963 to 2521 of the family's 2925-position model. The record is from RNAcentral. Lineage: Eukaryota; Metazoa; Mollusca; Gastropoda; Littorinimorpha; Pomatiopsidae.
AAUCAUUUGCCCUAUAAUUGAGGGCUAGUAUGAAUGGUUUGACAUGAGCAUAGCUGUCUCCUUAAAAUUUUAUAAAAUUUGGUUUUUAGGUGAAGAAACCUAAAUUAAAUUGAAAGACAAGAAGACCCUAUCGAGCUUUAGAAUAAUUAAUUAAAAAAUAUAAAUAAAACAAUUAAUUUUAAUUAAAAACUUUGGUUGGGGCGACUGAGGAACAUAUAAAGCUUCCUUAAUUAGACGACGCUGAUAAGCAAUGAUCCAGGAAAUCUGAUUAAAAAAAUUAGUUACCGUAGGGAUAACAGCAUAAUCUUUUUUGAGAGCUCUUAUCGAAAAAAAGGUUUGU